UUGGAGGGCAAGUCUGGUGCCAGCAGCCGCGGUAAUUCCAGCUUCAAUAGCGUAUAUUAAAGUUGUUGCAGUUAAAAAGCUCGUAGUUGAAUUUUGGGAUCAGAGUGUCGGUCGUGCCUCGGUACGCACUGGUAUUAUUGGUUCCUACCUUCUGAAGAACCGCGAUGUCAUUAAUUUGGUGUCGUGGGGAAUCAGGACUGUUACUUUGAAAAAAUUAGAGUGUUUAAAGCAGGCUUACGCUUGAAUACAUUAGCAUGGAAUAAUGAAAUAGGACAUUUGAUUCUAUUUUGUUGGUUUCUAGAAUUGACGUAAUGAUUAAUAGGGAUAGUUGGGGGCAUUAGUAUUCAAUUGUUAGAGGUGAAAUUCUUGGAUUUAUUGAAGACUAACUACUGCGAAAGCAUUUGCCAAGGAUGUUUUCAUUAAUCAAGAACGAAAGUUAGGGGAUCGAAGACGAUCAGAUACCGUCGUAGUCUUAACCAUAAACUAUGCCGACUAGGGAUCGGAUGAUGUUAAUUUUUUAAUGACUCAUUCGGCGCCUUACGGGAAAC
RNAcentral lists this ribosomal RNA (548 nucleotides) under uncultured Glomeromycotina. RNAcentral describes it as "SSU rRNA". It matches the Rfam family "Eukaryotic small subunit ribosomal RNA", at positions 548 to 1098 of the family's 1831-position model. Lineage: Eukaryota; Fungi; Glomeromycota. The record is from RNAcentral.